AACACAUGCAAGUCGAGGGGCAGCAUGAUCUUAGCUUGCUAAGAUGAUGGCGACCGGCGCACGGGUGAGUAACGCGUAUCCAACCUUCCCUAUAGUAGAGGAUAGCCCGGCGAAAGUCGGAUUAAUACUCUAUGUUAUUCAAUGCGGACAUCUAAGUUGAAUCAAAGGUUUAACCGCUAUAGGAUGGGGAUGCGUCUGAUUAGGUUGUUGGCGGGUAACGGCCCACCAAGCCAUCGAUCAGUAGGGGUUCUGAGAGGAAGGUCCCCCACAUUGGAACUGAGACACGGUCCAAACUCCUACGGGAGGCAGCAGUGAGGAAUAUUGGUCAAUGGGCGCGAGCCUGAACCAGCCAAGUAGCGUGGAAGGGGAUGACUGCCCUAUGGGUUGUAAACCUCUUUUGUUUGGGAAUAAAGUGAGCCACGUGUGGCUUUUUGUAUGUACCUUACGAAUAAGCAUCGGCUAAUUCCGUGCCAGCAGCUGC
Molecule: ribosomal RNA, 481 nt
Filed under: uncultured bacterium
Lineage: Bacteria
Description: bacterial SSU rRNA
Rfam family: Bacterial small subunit ribosomal RNA
Source: RNAcentral